UUGAACGGCCAUGACGGAUGCAUAUGCAUUGAAUACCGUAAUAUGCGACGGACUCAGGUAAAAAAUAAAUAAAUAAAUAAAAUGCAUCAAUCUUUAAUCUGCAGUUUAAUCGACUAGAAAAAAGAAAAGUCUUCAAGUUUAUUCCAUAGAGAGCUUUUAGUCUAUACAACACAACAGCCAGAAAAGGAAGCGGGCCAAUCUGUUUAACUCGUCUACACAUCAGCAGGCAAUACAAUAGCCGAGGCGCAAAGAAAAGUAGGGCGUCUCCUAUAUAUAACAAAUAAUAUCACGACGCACUCGCUUUUGAUGAAAUAGUUUUGAAAGGCCAGCAACUAAAGAUGAUUAGAUAUGGAGGUCAUAGAUCCAAGAAGACAAGUUGUUUCCUCUAUAUAAAGAUAGACCCUAUGCACACAUGAAAGGUCUAUUUAACGAGAUGUAGCCGACAGCCAACGUAGAAGUAGGGGUAGCCUAGUUGAAUGAAGAGAGAAAACAAAAGUGAUGAGACCCAAUUCCAAUCUGAUGCAGUUAGAACCCGCCAACUGUGUGUGUAUCAAUAUGUCUGGCAGCCGACGAACCGUAAGCCGCUGACGAAAUAAAACUAUCGAGGAGCACGCAGUCACACACUCUAUACUGUACGACGUGUAUACACAUUUCGUUUCUUUACACAUAUAAAGAGAGAAAGCCAAAGCCGAAUCGGUUGGUUUCCUUGUCAAUAUCGUUUCGGAUGGGAUCCAGCACGGACGACGCUGAUCGAUCCCGCGGGGAGAUGAAAUAGGAUCUACACGUUCCGUAGUCUACUGACAAAAGCCAAUGCAAUCUAGGACUGGAUGGUGGGGAGACCAUAAGGUUAAGCUCAAAAACAAAAAAUAAAUAAACCCUCCUGUUUUUGUCUUUUGUGUUUACACGUGAGAUUUGAGACGCCAGUGAAAAGAUCCACACGUUACAGCACAUUUUAUUUGUCUGUGUGUGUGUCUGGGUUGAUGAAGGAUUUGACACGACUUUUGAUUUGGAAGAAAGAGGGGAGGGGGGGACGAGAUAUUGUUAUGUCAACGUUACAUGCAGCGGUCAGAGGCAAACAGCGGAAUAACUAAGUAUCGAAUUCCAAGGGAUUGAUGCGAGCAAGAAGAAGAAGGGAUCCUGUUGUCAUCGGCUGAACGUUUUCUCUGAUACACUUAAGUGAGCGGGAAAUAUUCAUUAAAUCAUUAUUAUUAGGGAUUGGAUAUGGUGGAUAUAGCAAAUAAACGAGCUUAUAGCUUCGUCGUCGACAGACCAAGACGUCAUAUAUUGAGAAUAGUAUAAGGAAGGUGAAAUGAAAGGUCACGCAAUGUCGACGUAUAUCUGUAUACAUACCUGAUGAUUUGCAUAGCGACAAAAAAAAAACAAAAAAACAAAAAAACAAAAGCCUUGAGCUGAACUUUUGAAUUCAAGACGAUUUGUAACAUUUGAAUUGGGGCUAACGAAGCUGGGUGUUGACCUUUUCAGUUCUCUUCGGGCUUUUCGUGCAUCAAACAUCAGCGUCAACUGCGAAGGAGAUUAUAGAUGCAUAGCAUCUGCGAUUCAGUUUAACCGUAUCCGUUUCUUCCUGUCGACCUUGUGAAAAAUGGAAACCGGCAUUAACGUGAAUAGCUCGAAAUGCGAAAGCCAAUUUUGUUUUGUGGGAUAUAUUGAAACGAGAAAAGUUUUCGUUCGUUCAAAAACGAAAUGUCGACGACUUUUUAAUGUUUGACUCUCUUGAACGUAUGCGUCAUCACGUACAUCCCUCCUCGGCCCACGUCAUUAUGCAUCGAAACUUCAUUGCCCUCGGCCACGUAUAAUGUAAAGGUCCAACUUUGAGACAAUUAACGGUCGUACAUGGGCAGAAAAAAGUAGUAUGUAAAAUGUUAUUGACUAUACUCUCCGAUGGACAGGGGAAAAAAAAAAUGUUGCUAUAAAUAUUCCAGUUGCAUAUACCGAUGUUAAAAGUUUAGUUAUAAUUUUUUAUAUGCAGUAUUUAUAUUUUUUUUCUCUCCAAAAGUUAUCCGAUGUGAUGGGGUAGAAUACCGCGCGUUUCCUUUCGGCAACUUCAACAGACUCUGUCAGCAUUUCGUGCAGAAGCGUCGUGACGCCUGUUACUACAUAACUUUCAAAAUGUCAUCGAGUAAUAACUUUUCGGCUUUAAAGUUUGCCAGUUUACCUUGGUUAACGUGUUUUUUUUAUUUUUCCCUUCUCGAAUAUAUUAUAUGUAUACUAUGCUGUCUGUUAUGACGUAGUUUAUACAAUCUUCCUCGUUAUUAAAACAGAUGAUGGCGUGCACGGCUCUUAAUUACACGAGAUAUGAUCCCGUACAUAUAUCUGCUGUGACAAGUGUAUUUGAAAAUAGAUCUUGUCAUUGAUUUGCAUUGUUCGGAAUAGGUAUAUAGUUGCAUUAUAGAUAUUGCGUCAAUAUAUAUAGAGCCAGUCGUUGAAAAUGUAAAGGACAAUUUUGUGUUUCGUUUGAACGAUGGGAGUUGCCGUAUUACGUGCCGCUAAGGUGACACUAUAUAUGCAUACAAAGGAUAUUGAAUUGAUGGGACGUGAUUCAAUAUAAGUAUACUUGGUUUCGUUUUUUAAAAAGCCCAGUGAAAAUUUGCAUAUGUUUUGAAACUAAUUGGCAGUCGGGGAAGCUUCUUUUCGUUGCUAUUGAAAAUGCAUUACAGUCAUCGUUCGAAGUAGGGCGUCUACUAAUUAGCCCCAAUUUUCGCUAAGCUGUUUUAAAUUCACUUUGGUAUGCGUAUCGUUUGCUGAGCCACACGCUUUCUUUUAUAUAGUUCCACUCUUCGAAUUCCUCCCCGUCGGAGAAUUUCCCCCUAACGACAAGUACCAAUUUAUAUUUGAAAAAAACAAAACAAAAAUUAAUGCUGCGAAACAUAAAAAAAAUCUUAUUUAAAAAAUAAAUAAAUAAAUGUGAAAAUAAACACACAUUUCUAAGAAAUGUCUUGAGAAAACUUGAUUUAUAAACCAUAUAUAUAUUAAGACAUGAUAUCCGCACAGUUUUGAUGAGCUCAACCGUUCGAGGGUUUUCAGUUUCAUUUCAAGUGGCUGCUGUUGAUAGCGGAGCUUAGUCGGUUGCCAUCGACUUGUAUUUUGCCUUUCAACAAGCCAUAAUGUCGUGGAGAUGUGAUGAAUCGGAGAAAAAACAAAACAAAAGAGAGGCGGUGUCGUCUCAAGCUUUGCUCUAUUUAGUUUAAUAUCAACCACCGACGUUCGAUCGUGGGCACCAACCUUGGCAAACAGUACGUCACGAGCGCAGCUGUACAGGCCGUUUGUCUUGAACAGAUCGCAUUUUGUUUUGUUUUAUCCCCUCCUUUAUUUUAUUCUUUUUUUUUAUGUACGAACAGUAGAAGUGGCACGACGUUCGGCAUUUUUUUUAUUAAUCCCCAUCUAUACCUACGUAUAUCUGUGUGUUAUAACUUAUAAAGGAUAUAUGUUUAAAGCUUUUGUUUAGAACCACUUCUUAUCCAGUAGCCUCGGCUAUCAAACUGUCGACCUUCAGUCGCUUUAUACGAGUCCGCGAAAAAAAAGGAAACUAAAGGCAAGGGCCAUUAGCGUUUACGGUGGGGGGAAAAAGACGCAACGACCGCAUUAAUCCAUCAACAACCGGGGGGAGGAUUUUUCCUUCGUUUGUUGGCAUCGGUUGCAUCGUUGGCAUCGUUGACAUCGUUUGCCAAUCGUUCGUUCACGCCAACCCCUAGCCCGGGCUAUACCACCCAUUUCUGCAUGUCUUAACAGUAUAUACACCCUAUAGAAACAGCACAUGUGUAUAGACUCGGCUGUCAAAGAUCUUUAAAAAAAAAUAUGUGAAAAAAAAAAUGGACAGAGUCAUUAGUCGACGUCAACGGCCUCGCAACAGUCCCGAAUUGGCCCGCAGAAUGUUUCGCGUCUAGCUGCGGGAUUACCUACAUGCCAAAUGUCUAGCCCUUGGACGGCAAAGCUAAUAUGUAUUUCUUGUAUAUAUAUAGGUAUAGAGUAUAGAUCUAAAUUCGGGAGUGUCGUCAGAUUGGGGUGGGGCGUGGGCGACCGAGAGGCGAAGAAAAGGGACGUGCUGGUGAGUGUAUUUUGGUAGUUUGUCCAGACUGAGACACACACACACACACAGUGUCACAAACAAGAGGGAGAGACUCAGUUUUGCUGUCUCUCUUUUUCGUCGAAAUAUUUGUCGUCAGCUCGGAGAAUGCGCAUCGUCUAGGCCAACGACUCGCUGAAUGACCGGGCCAAAAAGGAUUCGACAUCGUUAAACAACUUGUUGGCAGACUGUAAAACAACGGAGACAACGGCCGUCGAAAAUGAUGAAGAUAACAACGUCGAUACACAUCAGCGGGCAGAAUAAAAACGAAUACUGGGCACGAAGACAAAAUAGAUGCAGCAUCAUACGUAAGGGGCGCAUUGACUUAUGGAACGGACACGAUUAUCAAAUGAAAAAUGAAGAAUCCGGGAGGUCGGCUUUAGUUUGUGUGUGUGUGUGGGGCCGGCAGGGAGCAGCGUGAGCUCAAGUUGUAACUUGUCUAAUCGUUUUAUCUAUUCUGAUGAAAUCGAUUUCGACUCGCCGAGCGUUUCAAUAAAAUUUUUUUUUUUCACA
Molecule: long non-coding RNA, 4594 nt
Organism: Daphnia magna
Lineage: Eukaryota; Metazoa; Arthropoda; Branchiopoda; Diplostraca; Daphniidae
Exons: 2
Source: RefSeq, a predicted model, not a curated record